GCAAUGCGCGUGCUAUACAUGCAGUCGAGCGGACCUUUUAAAAGCUUGCUUUUGAAAGGUCAGCGGCGGACGGGUGAGUAACACGUGGGCAACCUGCCUGUAAGACUGGGAUAACUUCGGGAAACCGGAGCUAAUACCGGAUAAUAUAAGGAACCUCCUGGUUCUUUAUUGAAAGAUGGUUUCGGCUAUCACUUACAGAUGGGCCCGCGGCGCAUUAGCUAGUUGGUGAGGUAAUGGCUCACCAAGGCGACGAUGCGUAGCCGACCUGAGAGGGUGAUCGGCCACACUGGGACUGAGACACGGCCCAGACUCCUACGGGAGGCAGCAGUAGGGAAUCUUCCACAAUGGACGAAAGUCUGAUGGAGCAACGCCGCGUGAGCGAUGAAGGCCUUCGGGUCGUAAAGCUCUGUUGUUAGGGAAGAACAAGUGCGAGAGUAACUGCUCGCACCUUGACGGUACCUAACCAGAAAGCCACGGCUAACUACGUGCCAGCAGCCGCGGUAAUACGUAGGUGGCAAGCGUUGUCCGGAAUUAUUGGGCGUAAAGCGCGCGCAGGUGGUCCUUUAAGUCUGAUGUGAAAGCCCACGGCUCAACCGUGGAGGGUCAUUGGAAACUGGGGGACUUGAGUGCAGAAGAGGAAAGUGGAAUUCCAAGUGUAGCGGUGAAAUGCGUAGAGAUUUGGAGGAACACCAGUGGCGAAGGCGACUUUCUGGUCUG
This 717-nucleotide ribosomal RNA is filed under the name Bacillus sp. (in: firmicutes). Its description in RNAcentral is "bacterial SSU rRNA". It matches the Rfam family "Bacterial small subunit ribosomal RNA", at positions 39 to 736 of the family's 1533-position model. Lineage: Bacteria; Bacillati; Bacillota; Bacilli; Caryophanales; Bacillaceae. The record is from RNAcentral.